Molecule: ribosomal RNA, 1356 nt
Filed under: Escherichia coli
Lineage: Bacteria; Pseudomonadati; Pseudomonadota; Gammaproteobacteria; Enterobacterales; Enterobacteriaceae
Description: partial 23S ribosomal RNA
Rfam family: Bacterial large subunit ribosomal RNA
Source: RNAcentral
UUGUGAGGUUAAGCGACUAAGCGUACACGGUGGAUGCCCUGGCAGUCAGAGGCGAUGAAGGACGUGCUAAUCUGCGAUAAGCGUCGGUGAGGUGAUAUGAACCGUUAUAACCGGCGAUUUCCGAAUGGGGAAACCCAGUGUGUUUCGACACACUAUCAUUAACUGAAUCCAUAGGUUAAUGAGGCGAACCGGGGGAACUGAAACAUCUAAGUACCCCGAGGAAAAGAAAUCAACCGAGAUUCCCCCAGUAGCGGCGAGCGAACGGGGAGGAGCCCAGAGCCUGAAUCAGUGUGUGUGUUAGUGGAAGCGUCUGGAAAGGCGCGCGAUACAGGGUGACAGCCCCGUACACAAAAAUGCACAUAUUGUGAGCUCGAUGAGUAGGGCGGGACACGUGGUAUCCUGUCUGAAUAUGGGGGGACCAUCCUCCAAGGCUAAAUACUCCUGACUGACCGAUAGUGAACCAGUACCGUGAGGGAAAGGCGAAAAGAACCCCGGCGAGGGGAGUGAAAAAGAACCUGAAACCGUGUACGUACAAGCAGUGGGAGCCUCUUAAUGGGGUGACUGCGUACCUUUUGUAUAAUGGGUCAGCGACUUAUAUUCUGUAGCAAGGUUAACCGAAUAGGGGAGCCGAAGGGAAACCGAGUCUUAACUGGGCGUUAAGUUGCAGGGUAUAGACCCGAAACCCGGUGAUCUAGCCAUGGGCAGGUUGAAGGUUGGGUAACACUAACUGGAGGACCGAACCGACUAAUGUUGAAAAAUUAGCGGAUGACUUGUGGCUGGGGGUGAAAGGCCAAUCAAACCGGGAGAUAGCUGGUUCUCCCCGAAAGCUAUUUAGGUAGCGCCUCGUGAAUUCAUCUCCGGGGGUAGAGCACUGUUUCGGCAAGGGGGUCAUCCCGACUUACCAACCCGAUGCAAACUGCGAAUACCGGAGAAUGUUAUCACGGGAGACACACGGCGGGUGCUAACGUCCGUCGUGAAGAGGGAAACAACCCAGACCGCCAGCUAAGGUCCCAAAGUCAUGGUUAAGUGGGAAACGAUGUGGGAAGGCCCAGACAGCCAGGAUGUUGGCUUAGAAGCAGCCAUCAUUUAAAGAAAGCGUAAUAGCUCACUGGUCGAGUCGGCCUGCGCGGAAGAUGUAACGGGGCUAAACCAUGCACCGAAGCUGCGGCAGCGACGCUUAUGCGUUGUUGGGUAGGGGAGCGUUCUGUAAGCCUGUGAAGGUGUGCUGUGAGGCAUGCUGGAGGUAUCAGAAGUGCGAAUGCUGACAUAAGUAACGAUAAAGCGGGUGAAAAGCCCGCUCGCCGGAAGACCAAGGGUUCCUGUCCAACGUUAAUCGGGGCAGGGUGAGUCGACCCC